Molecule: ribosomal RNA, 734 nt
Filed under: Demequina sp. CR-17
Lineage: Bacteria; Bacillati; Actinomycetota; Actinomycetes; Micrococcales; Demequinaceae
Description: bacterial SSU rRNA
Rfam family: Bacterial small subunit ribosomal RNA
Source: RNAcentral
AGUCGAACGGUGAAGCGAGAGCUUGCUCUCGUGGAUCAGUGGCGAACGGGUGAGUAACACGUGAGUAACCUGCCCCAGACUCUGGGAUAAGCCUUGGAAACGAGGUCUAAUACCGGAUACGAGACGAGAUCGCAUGGUCAUCGUCUGGAAAGAAUUUCGGUCUGGGAUGGACUCGCGGCCUAUCAGCUUGUUGGUGAGGUAAUGGCUCACCAAGGCGACGACGGGUAGCCGGCCUGAGAGGGCGACCGGCCACACUGGAACUGAGACACGGUCCAGACUCCUACGGGAGGCAGCAGUGGGGAAUAUUGCACAAUGGGCGCAAGCCUGAUGCAGCGACGCCGCGUGGGGGAUGAAGGCCUUCGGGUUGUAAACCCCUUUCAGCAGGGAAGAAGCGAAAGUGACGGUACCUGCAGAAGAAGCGCCGGCUAACUACGUGCCAGCAGCCGCGGUAAUACGUAGGGCGCAAGCGUUGUCCGGAAUUAUUGGGCGUAAAGAGCUCGUAGGCGGUCUGUCGCGUCUGCUGUGAAAACCCGAGGCUCAACCUCGGGCCUGCAGUGGGUACGGGCAGACUAGAGUGUGGUAGGGGAGACUGGAAUUCCUGGUGUAGCGGUGGAAUGCGCAGAUAUCAGGAGGAACACCAAUGGCGAAGGCAGGUCUCUGGGCCACUACUGACGCUGAGGAGCGAAAGCAUGGGGAGCGAACAGGAUUAGAUACCCUGGUAGUCCAUGCCGUAA